Molecule: long non-coding RNA, 510 nt
Filed under: Parus major (Great Tit)
Lineage: Eukaryota; Metazoa; Chordata; Aves; Passeriformes; Paridae
Description: lncRNA (ENSPMJG00000007522.1)
Source: RNAcentral
CGGGCGGCGAGGCGGGCGCUGCCAGGGCGAGCCGGGGGGCGGCUCCCCGGACCGGCCCCCCGGGAAACGCGGCCCCGGCGAGCCCAGGCGAGCUGGAGGAGGCGGUGGUGGCGGCAGCCGGUGCCGGGGGCAUCGUGGUGCUGCCUUGUCCGAGGGACCGGCGCUGUGCCCCCCCUUGCAGCCCUGUUCCACCCCUUUGGAUCCAUUCUCUCUCCGUUGGAAGGCACCACUCCACCAGGACAGAGGAGCACACUUGUCCUUGUGGGUGCCUUUGGAACCACUCCACUCGUGGGUACAGAGGAAUCUGAGAUGAAAGAGAACUAGAUUCUGAUGAUCAUCUUGACAUUGUUGCUGUCACCUGCGUUGACAGCUGCAUUACAGGGAGAACAGAGCUGCCUGGAUGCUGUUCCUCCCCUCUGACCAGGUGCAGACACAGUUAGCUUUGGCAGCAUCAGCAGCAGCAUCAGGAAAUGAGCUUUGCAUCACAGCUGUUCCCACCAGCAACCCACC